GUCCAUCAGCAGAUGAAUGGAUAAGAAAGCUGUGGUACAUAUACACAAUGGAAUAUUACUCAGCUAUUGAAAAGAAUGCAUUUGAAUCAGUUCUAAUGAGGUGGAUGAAACUGGAGCCUAUUAUACAGAGUGAAGUAAGUCAGAAAGAAAAACACCAAUACAGUAUAUUAACACAUAUGUGGAAUUUAGAAAGAUGGUAACAAUGACCCUAUAUGCAAGACAGAAAAAGAGACAGAACAGAUUUUGGACUCUGUGGGAGAAGGCAAGAGUGGGAUGAUUUGAGAGAAUAGCAUUGAAACAUGUAUAUUAUCAUAUGUGAAACAGAUUGCCAGUCCAGGUUAGAUGCAUGAGACAGGGCAAUCAGGGCUGGUGCACUGGGAUGACCCUGAGGGAUGGGAUGGGGAGGGAGGUGGGAGGGAGGGUCAGGAUGGGGGACACAUGUACACCCAUGGUUGAUUCAUGUCAAUGUAUGGCAAAAAACCACUAUAAUAUUGUAAAAUAAUUAGCCUCCAAUUAAAAUUAAUUAAAAAUAUUAUAGGAAAGACUUAUAAAGAGCUAGUGAGGAAGUAUACACCAACGUCCAUACAUGGGUCUGAGAUAUUUGGGAAGAGUGACAAGUGCAUGUAAAACCUUGAAAAAAUUACCUCCUAAUAUCUAUCCUCUGACAAUGUGUUCACCUAAAAGAUUAUUUUUGAUCCUAAUAGGUAGAUGAGGUUUGUGCUAAUUCUGGCCAAAGUGAUUAAGCCAGAAUUAUUUUCUAGAAUUUCUUCCAAGUUUCCUUUAAAAGAAUCAGUAAGGUUUUUUGUUUGUUUCUUUCUUUCACCUUUUAAGAAGUCUUUCUUUGGCCUACGACUAGGAACUGAAGCCUGGAGUUUCACCGGCAGCAUUCUGGGAAUGGAAAGUGACUAUAGGAAUGGAAGGCAUGAAGUGGAUCCAAACAGACAGAGUUGCCACUUACCAGACGGUCACCAUCCUACACUGAACUGUACAACCUCCUUUUGCAUAACAGAGAAAGAAUUCCUUCUCCAAUAUUUUGGCCACCUGAUGUGA
RNAcentral lists this long non-coding RNA (1050 nucleotides) under Bos indicus x Bos taurus (hybrid cattle). RNAcentral's name for it is "lncRNA (ENSBIXG00005005019.1)". Lineage: Eukaryota; Metazoa; Chordata; Mammalia; Artiodactyla; Bovidae. The record is from RNAcentral.